This 380-nucleotide ribosomal RNA is filed under the name alpha proteobacterium BAL169. RNAcentral's name for it is "bacterial SSU rRNA". It matches the Rfam family "Bacterial small subunit ribosomal RNA", at positions 69 to 495 of the family's 1533-position model. The record is from RNAcentral. Lineage: Bacteria; Pseudomonadati; Pseudomonadota; Alphaproteobacteria.
AAGUCUUCGGACUUAGUGGCGCACGGGUGCGUAACGCGUGGGAAUCUGCCCUUAGGUACGGAAUAACUCAGGGAAACUUGUGCUAAUACCGUAUGAUGUCUUCGGACCAAAGAUUUAUCGCCUAGGGAUGAGCCCGCGUUGGAUUAGCUAGUUGGUGGGGUAAAGGCCCACCAAGGCGACGAUCCAUAGCUGGUCUGAGAGGAUGAUCAGCCACACUGGGACUGAGACACGGCCCAGACUCCUACGGGAGGCAGCAGUGGGGAAUAUUGGACAAUGGGCGAAAGCCUGAUCCAGCAAUGCCGCGUGAGUGAUGAAGGCCUUAGGGUUGUAAAGCUCUUUUACCCGGGAAGAUAAUGACUGUACCGGGAGAAUAAGCCCCG